Molecule: ribosomal RNA, 253 nt
Filed under: uncultured bacterium
Lineage: Bacteria
Description: partial 16S ribosomal RNA
Rfam family: Bacterial small subunit ribosomal RNA
Source: RNAcentral
UACGGAGGGUGCAAGCGUUAUCCGGAUUCACUGGGUUUAAAGGGUGCGUAGGUGGGUUGGUAAGUCAGUGGUGAAAUCUCCGAGCUUAACUUGGAAACUGCCAUUGAUACUAUCAGUCUUGAAUACCGUGGAGGUCAGCGGAAUAUGUCAUGUAGCGGUGAAAUGCUUAGAUAUGACAUAGAACACCAAUUGCGAAGGCAGCUGGCUACAUGAAUAUUGACACUGAGGCACGAAAGCGUGGGGAUCAAACAGG